UGGGGAAUAUUGCACAAUGGGCGAAAGCCUGAUGCAGCGACGCCGCGUGCGGGAUGAAGGCCUUCGGGUUGUAAACCGCUUUUGAUUGGGAGCAAGCGAGAGUGAGUGUACCUUUCGAAUAAGCACCGGCUAACUACGUGCCAGCAGCCGCGGUAAUACGUAGGGUGCAAGCGUUAUCCGGAAUUAUUGGGCGUAAAGAGCUCGUAGGCGGUUUGUCGCGUCUGGUGUGAAAGUCCAUCGCUUAACGGUGGAUCUGCGCCGGGUACGGGCAGGCUAGAGUGCGACAGGGGAGACUGGAAUUCCCGGUGUAACGGUGGAAUGUGUAGAUAUCGGGAAGAACACCAAUGGCGAAGGCAGGUCUCUGGGUCGUCACUGACGCUGAGGAGCGAAAGCGUGGGGAGCGAACAGGAUUAGAUACCCUGGUAGUCCACGCCGUAAACGGUGGAUGCUGGAUGUGGGGCCCAUUCCACGGGUUCCGUGUCG
This 483-nucleotide ribosomal RNA is filed under the name uncultured bacterium. RNAcentral describes it as "partial 16S ribosomal RNA". It matches the Rfam family "Bacterial small subunit ribosomal RNA", at positions 355 to 848 of the family's 1533-position model. The record is from RNAcentral.